This 26-nucleotide non-coding RNA is filed under the name Cricetulus griseus (Chinese hamster). Lineage: Eukaryota; Metazoa; Chordata; Mammalia; Rodentia; Cricetidae. The record is from RNAcentral.
CGGCCAAGAUAAAUGCACCUAAAUGC